Long non-coding RNA from Heterocephalus glaber (naked mole-rat), 4323 nucleotides. The record is from Ensembl. NCBI's taxonomy places the organism in Eukaryota, Metazoa, Chordata, Mammalia, Rodentia, Bathyergidae.
AGCGCGCGCCCCGGACGGGAAAGCCGGGUCUGCGGCCUCGCCCCAGCGUCCCCGCCGCCCUCCUGCAGACCCCGCAUCCUCCCGGGCAGCCGAGCCUCAGUGUCCCGAUCCGGGAAGUGGGCACGCAACGCUGGCCAGAGCCGCGGCCCCUCCGGACCCCAGUCACCUUCCCCGCCCCGGCCGGACACAACGGGACUGCUCUGCUGGAAGAUCCCACCCAGGGGCCCUCGGACAGGGCCGUGCAGUCUCCAUCGUGCCAAACGCACAGCCAUCGUUGUCUUUUUCUGCACCUUGCAGCGAUGAAAACGGCUAUGGUGAAAGACUUCCCUUCUGAGCCAGCGCUUUGUCUCGAGCACUCGUGAGUCCUCGCGCGUGGCCCACUUCAGCCCUGGGCACUCGCUCCGGAGAUGUGGAUGGAAAUCGCAUCUCCUCAGGUGCAGCCACUUCCCCAAGGCCAGGCGAGGGCUGGGCUGAAAGGCAGGCGUUGCCCCAGGGCUUUCUGUCUUUACUCACCUUUUUGUAGCUUUGCACCUAGCCCUGGUGCUCCUGCCUGGGCCGAUGUAACCAGGGUCCUCCUCUCCUGUCCCUGAAGCAGACUUCCCUCAAGUCCCGUCCCGUCCCCUGCUCCUGGCCCCAUAACCGGAAAAUCGAGACAGAAUGGUUUGGAAGCACGAAGGAUCCUGACGGCAGAUAAAGGACUCAGAGAAAACUGGCUGCCGACUUCUCGAGUGUGAGGUGAGACUCUCUUCGUGGAUUGGCCGGGGACCACGCACCCACCAGAAAGCCCCGAGUCUGGGGUCUCCUGGACGUCUGCAGACUUGCUCCACACGCAGCCGUGUUAGUUUCUUUCUGAAUCACUGGUGGACCCUUCGGAGCUCUGCACGUGGAUGUGUCUUUCCUGAGAACAGGACUUUAUCUUGCAUAACCACAGCAGGUUGCCAAACUCCUGAAUUCACGGCGAUAAGAUGCUGGUAUCUCGUCCAUCCGUGUUCCAGUUGUCAGCUGAUCGGAUAAAAUGUUGUGUAGUGUUUCUUCCCCUCCAUUUCAAGACCCAGUCCGGGGGUAGGACCAGGCCUGGCUUUCAGUUCUUUCAGACCGGUGGGUUUCAUGAACUUCUGUGAACUGGAGUGGAAUGGAUAUAAACAUCCUCAGGUGUUUUCCUGCUGGCAGUGGCCCCUAGAAUUCCUGGGGCACCUUCGUUCCCACAUUUCCUGGCUCUGCAAUAGGCCAGCACCCACCCCACACCGCUUUCUGAAGCAAGUUCAUGACCUUGCCACCCCUCCGUACACCCCAGUACUGAGGAUGGACCCACGGUGCUCUACCACUGAGCUGCAGCCUCAGCCCUUUCUUGUUUUUUUUACUUUGAGACAGGGUUUCCUUUUGCAAAGUUGCCCAGGCUGGCUUUGAACUUGGGAUCCUCCUGCCUCAGCCUCCCAAGUAGCUAGGAUUACAAGCACGCACCACCACACCUGCCUGAACUUCCCACUCCUCUUGUGGCUGUAGGAGCCAAAGUGGCCUCAGGAUGGUGAUUGUGGCCAAGCCCUGCCAUCCCCCAGGCACUCUUGAGGGUCCCCGGCCCAUGAGUCCCUCACAGGGUGGCAGCCCCUGCUAGCUGAUAGCCAAGCAGUGUACAAAUCACCCUGAGAGCCCAGCCUCCAGGGGCAGGCACCUCACCAGAGGGAACCAUGCAGGCUGGACUUGGACCUCGGGACAAGACACAGGAUUCUGUGAUAGCAAAGAAUCCAGCUAUCCGCCGUGAGCCGGAAGGCUCAUUCUGCUGAAAGUGGAGGAUCUGAGAGGCCCUCAUUUUUAAUUAGUGAUGAACUGAUUGACAUCUAUCUCCGCUGUUGACGCAUAAUUUGUUCUGGAAGGCGCACAGUUGUGUGAUGCGGAGCCCUGUUGGCCCCAGAAGGUUGCUUCCACCUGCUUUGGGUCGGUCACCUGCCUUCCCCAGGACAUGAGCCAUGGUUGAGAGGAAGUGGAGCCGCAGGUGCACUGGCAGCCUUUCUGGCACCACAGGGAAUCUGCUGAGAGGCCUCACGGUGGAGCUUCCAGGGAAAUCAGGCAUCUGGAGUCCUCCCACGACAUCCAGCCUGCUCCUCACCUUCCAAGAGUCAGUAACGUCCCUGGGAUGCGGGCUUCCGCCGUUCCUGUUGUGAGUCGCAGUUGUUAAAGCAGCACAGCUGGCUCAGCUGCUCCCCGAGAUGCACGUGCCCUGCACCCUGGAAGAGGAAAGAUUGCGGUCACGCAUGCAGCCUGGGGCCCUUGUGCCCAGAAUGCUCAGGCACACGGCGUCACUGACGGGGAGGGCCCAGCGAGGCUGGGGACCAUCACGUGACCUCCCCGGGUCGCUCUGCCAACCCCACUGUGCUGACCCAGGCCUCUGACCGGAGGGCAGGCAAUCCUCGCACCCGGCACUGGGGCUGCACUGGGCACCCAGCUCCUCCCGAGGACGAACGUCCAGGCCGGCAGGAGAAGGCCAGGCCCACCGAGCCCCUGCCGCAGAGGUGGCAGUGAGCGCCAGGGUGGCCACACCCUCCGGCGGUGUCGCGGUCACUCCGCAGCGCCCAGCCCCCAUCCUCGGGCCUCUGCCCGCCCGCCGAGGGGUGAACAGGAGCCGGGCCUCGGGUCUGAUGCACCCGCAGGAAGGCAAGCCUCAGCCGGCUCCCGGUGCCACCCUGGAGUCGCCGCGAUUCUCGGCGUCCCUCGGUGCCAGCACUACCGCUGCAGGGACGCUUCCACACCACGGGAAAGUCACAGCACCGACUCAGAGGGCAGCUCGUGGAGUUAAACCACCACGGAGCCGGGCGCAGUGGGGCAUGCCUGUCAUCCUAACACUCUGGGAGGCUGAGGCAGGAGGAUCACAAGCUUGGAUGGCUCAGCAACUUAUCAAGAUCCUGUCUCAAAAAAUAAUAAAACUUUAAAAGGCUGGGAUGUAGCUCAGUGCAGAAGCCUUGCGUGCGACUUCCAGUCCAGCAGAGAGGGGUGUCACCCACCUGACAUAUCCUGCUGUAGCCGUGGGAAACUGUGGGAGCCUGUGCUGCAUGUGGGAGUUCCCGUGACUCCCAGGACCACUGUCACUGUGGUCCUGUUCUGGUUUCUACCUAGCUGUCCCCCAGAGCCCCUGCGCAUAGGCCAGGCCCUGUGUGAAGUGCCAUGGACUGUUCUCAUCUGUGGAGCCACCCUGCCUUGGAGCCAGCCUACCAUGGACUGAGACCUCUACAUCUACACACUGAGCCAAAAUAAAGCUCUCCUCCCCUAAGUUGUGUCACAAUGAUGGGAAAGUGACUUGGACAGCGCCCAUGGCCACGAGAUGAUGUGACCUGUCUGCCACUGUCACUGCCUUCCUUCCUAAGGUAGAGUCGUAAGAAGAAGGCGCUGCUCAAGUUCCUGUGGAUAGAAAGGUCACCAAGGCCAAGCUCCCUGCCUCGCGAGCUGCCCCAGGUCACAGAAUGUCCCAGGUCAGCGAGUGUCCUGUGGGCAGCUCCCUGGCUCCCUGCAUCCAGGGCUGGCCCCCCUCAGGCACAGGACUGGUGACCUGCAGUGCACGGCCCUGCCUGCUGUCCCCCAACGUGCUGGCUUGGUUUCACAGGAUGGCCUCGCGACAUGCAUGUCACACUGGGAGCUGCAACAUCAUGGCAAUGAUCUGACCGCGGGCCCAGGACUCAGGCUGCCUGCAUUCAGGGGCAGCUUUGUGUUUCCAGCUCAUCAGCCCUGCAUUCAUCACUUCACUAACUUCUCUCCAUGCUUUGCCUCCUGCCUGGAACAGUGCUCGGUAAACAUUGGCUACAUGGACUCCUGGUUCUGUCUCCAGUCCUCAGUGCUCCUGUAUCAGCCACAGUACUGGUUCCGCUGGCCUGUUCUCAGUUGCCCAUACUCGGUGAGGUAGAAUGUAGGAAGCCUUAAUUAUGAAUUCGGAGACAAGCCCUGCCACCCUUGGAGGAGGACAUGGAAGGCAGCUAUGCUCACCACUAUACCACCAACGCGAGGAGGACAUGGGAUACGCAAUCUAUUUGCUUUACAUAAGGUGGAGAAGGAAAGAUGCCCACUUAACAUUUUUCUCCAAGGGCUGUGGUUCCCGUGUUGUCCCUUCCUUGGCUGUUCGGAGUUGAAUGCCUCCUCUCCACCACCUUUGCCCCGGGCCGCCAUUGUUCCUCUAAGCUUCUCUCCUUGCUUUGGUUUUAUGUAGAUUUUGUAUUGUAGUUGAUCUUUCAUGGGCAGAGAGCAAUGAAUUAAAGUCUCAUAUUUCUGAUGUGUUUCUGUUCGUUCUCCUAAUAGCUCCCAUGGUUGCUGCUUUAUGAAUUUUGAUGCUGUGUUAUUUGG